GUGCUCACUUCGGCGGCACAUACACUAAAAUUGAAACGAUAUAGAGAAGAUUAGCAUGGCCCCUGCAGAAGAAUGACACGCAAAUUUGUGAAGUGUUCCAUAUUUUU
Molecule: small nuclear RNA, 107 nt
Organism: Suncus etruscus (white-toothed pygmy shrew)
Lineage: Eukaryota; Metazoa; Chordata; Mammalia; Eulipotyphla; Soricidae
Source: RefSeq, a predicted model, not a curated record